This 66-nucleotide transfer RNA is filed under the name Gloydius changdaoensis. RNAcentral describes it as "Gloydius saxatilis changdaoensis tRNA-Ala". It matches the Rfam family "tRNA". Rfam says of the family: Transfer RNA (tRNA) molecules are approximately 80 nucleotides in length. Their secondary structure includes four short double-helical elements and three loops (D, anti-codon, and T loops). Lineage: Eukaryota; Metazoa; Chordata; Lepidosauria; Squamata; Viperidae. The record is from RNAcentral.
GGAGCUUUAGUUUAGUUAAAAUGUCUGUGUUGCAAACAGGAGAUGUGGUGGUACUGCAAGCUCUGC